UGCCAGUGAUGUUCCCUAAAUUCUGACACCUCAUAUGAAACUGUCAAAACAGCUUCUUGAUUAUAUUUUUUUGGGCUGAGGCAC
Molecule: small nucleolar RNA, 84 nt
Filed under: Xenopus laevis (African clawed frog)
Lineage: Eukaryota; Metazoa; Chordata; Amphibia; Anura; Pipidae
Description: Small nucleolar RNA SNORD60
Rfam family: Small nucleolar RNA SNORD60
About the family: U60 belongs to the C/D class of snoRNA which contain the C (UGAUGA) and D (CUGA) box motifs. Most of the members of the box C/D family function in directing site-specific 2'-O-methylation of substrate RNAs.
Source: Rfam by way of RNAcentral